Choloepus didactylus (southern two-toed sloth) is the source of this 2311-nucleotide long non-coding RNA. RefSeq lists it as uncharacterized. NCBI's taxonomy places the organism in Eukaryota, Metazoa, Chordata, Mammalia, Pilosa, Megalonychidae. The record is from RefSeq and is a predicted model, not a curated record. The transcript is spliced from 4 exons.
AAAAAAAAAAAAGAAAAAAAAAAUAGUGGCAACCCCAGAUGCUGGUGAUGAUGUGAAAAAACUAGAUCACUGAUAUAUUUUUGGUCGGAAUGUAAAAAUGGCACAGCCGCUCUGGAAAACAGUGUGGCAGUUUCUUAAAAAACUAAACAUGCAACUACCAUAUGACUCAAAAAUCAUACUCCUGGGCAUUUAUCCCUGAGAAAUAAAAACCUGUACGUGAAUGUCUAUGGAAGCUUUAUUUCUAACAGCCUCAAAUUGGAAACAGCCUAUAUAUCCUUCAGUGGGUAAACGGGUCAAUACCCUGUGGUACGUCCAUGCCAUGGACUGCUACUCAGCAACUAAAGGGAACAAGCUAUGGAUGCAUACAACCUAGAUGAAUCUCCAGAGAAUUAUGCUGACUGAAAAAAAGCCAAUCCCCAAAGGUUACAUACUAUAUGAUUCCAGUUACACAACAUUUUAAAAAUGACAAAAUUACAGAAAUGGAGAACAGAAUAGUGGUGGUUAGCAGUUAAAGGGAGGGAGGUGACAGAAGUGGGUGUGGCUGUGAAAGGACAACACGAGGGAUCUUUGUGGUGAUGGAUCUUGACUAUAUCAAUGUCAAUAUCCUGGCUAUGAUAUUGUAUUCUAGGUCUGCACGAUGUUACCCCUGGGGAUCCUGGUUGUGAUGGUGUACGACAGUCCUGCCCGAUGCUACCACUGGGGGAACCUGGUCUGAAAAGCAAGGACAUGUGCCUCUUUUAAGGAUUUGUGCCUUUGUUGAUGUUGUUCCUCUAGUUCUUCAAGCUCCUGGGUGAGCCGCUGCCGUUCCUGUGUAAACUGGGCUUGCAGUUGCUGCAAAGACGUCUGAGACUGAGAAAGCUGCAUCUCCAGAUUCUGUUUCAGCAAGGAAAUCUAUGCCACAGAAUGACUAUUGUAACUUGCAACUCAAUAACUCAACCAUAUAUUCUAAAAGAAGUCUAAAGCUAAGAGGACUUAUGGGCACCAGAUAAAAACUUGUGAAAUAUGUUCCAUUAAGCAACUUAAGACACUGUGUCUACAUACAAGUAAAACAGUUUCUAUGACCAAGAAAAUUAAUGAAAGGAGGAAAUUUUAAAAACAAGAUGGCAUAUAGAAGAAAACUUGUGCUAAGCAUGAAAAUCUUGCUUGGAAGGCUAGUGCAAAGACUACAUGUGGAUGCAGUGGAUAGAGCCCUCAGCCUGUUGAACCUGACACAGUGACAAGGUCAAAUGUUGCUUAGGAUGAUGACAGAGCCAAGAGUUGACCCUCAGUGACCAUGAUGUUAUACGAGAGAAUUAAUUAAAUAGCAUCUUCAUUGGUCUUACCACCCCCUUUAACUUUUUUUUAAUAGAUGAAUCAAGGUAUUCCCACUCCAGUUGCUAAUAGAUUUAACUUCAAUAUGAUUGUUUUUAUUUUAAUGAACACCUUCUCAUUUAUAAUUAUUAAGGAAAAAGUGACAAGUAUUUUGGAGUACAAUUACAUUAAUUUUGACAAUAAUUACAUCUUAUGUGGUUUCCUAUUUUUAUCCCAAUUAGCACAUGUGGCAAAAAAGUCUGGAUUGAUAUGGUUAUCAUGGCCAAAUUCUUAUGAUGUUCUAAUAUGUUAAAAUGAAUUUAUAGGCUGUUAAAAAGAAUAUAUAAAUGAUAAGUGUAGCCUAUUUCAACAACAUGGAGAUAAAUGUCCUCGUUGCUUAUUUUUAAAUACAUUAAAUACAAUGCUGCUAAGUAUAAUUGUGUAUUUCUAGUUAUUUUUUAUGUAGAAAGGAAAGCUGAAUUUUAAAGGUAGGUAAAAAAAUUUCUUUUCUUAUGUUAUAGAAAGGAGUUAGGGAGGUAUAAGGAAAUAGUUUCUAGAAGUAUCCAAAUUCCAGAAGACCUCUCUAGACUCAAAGCUUUAAUUCCUCAGGACAGGGAUUGACAAACCACAGCCUGUUGUUGAAAAUUAAGCUUUACUGGAAGACAGCCACACCCGUCCAGUUACAUAUCGUCUGGCUGCUUUCAUACGACAACAGCAAAGUUCAGUAGCUGCUGCAGAGACUGGAGGGUCCACAGAGCCAAAAGUAUUUACUAUUUGGCCCUUUACAGAAAAAGUUUGCUGAUCCUACCCUAGGAUAACAUGAAAAAUAUUAAAAGAUGUUCAACUCUGUUAUCUUAUUUCAAAGAACAACCUGGGCUUAAGUUUGGCACAAAAAAAAAUAUUUUUUUUCUCCUCAUAUAUAAAGAAAAAAACUUAAAUGAGCGUUUAAAUGGAAUAUUAUUUCUAAGCUUAAUCUGUGCAUACUUGAGUGUACAUAAGUAAGAAACAAUUGCUUUUAGGA